This 806-nucleotide long non-coding RNA is filed under the name Mus musculus (house mouse). Its description in RNAcentral is "predicted gene, 49808". Lineage: Eukaryota; Metazoa; Chordata; Mammalia; Rodentia; Muridae. The record is from RNAcentral.
ACGACUCGGGGAUGAGGAAGCUCGGGCGUGUUGGGGUGUGCCAGUGAGGUGGUUUGUCUGAGGUGUUGAGACAGACAAAGAAAAUGAGCCUUGAAAACAGAGUGAGCCACAUGGUGCAGGGUGAGGCCAGGAGGCGGGAUCACACCCACACCUGAGAAUGAAUUUACAGCCACGGUAAGGGUUAAGUCUUCAGAGACGGAUCUGGAGUCACACUGGGCUCAACCAAGCCUCCUAUGCCUGGCUUCACUUUCCUCCUACAACUAAGACACAACCUGACUAGCUGAAAUACCCUCAUCUGUGAUGUAUGGCAACCUCUCAAUCCAUGAGCUGAAAUGAACGUUCCUUUGGUUGACUUUGGCAGACUUUUGUGUCACAGAGGAAAUAUGGAAUGAGAAGGAUGCCAUGGAGUAAAAGGUCUGAAGGCUUACAAGAUCUAGAAGCUUGAUGUAUGCAAAGGCUCAGGAAAAUGGAUGAAACUGGCCACCAACCUGUUAGGUGAAACCAGACAGACACAGAAAGAUAAACAGCACACCUUCUCCCCCAUAUGUGGAAUCCAGACUUAAAGUAAAACUCACGGGAACAAGAGGAACCAUCUGAGAAGGAAAGACCUCUCAGGAGGAGGGAAGGGAGGGAAGAGAAGACAUGGCCAUGGAGAAGUAACUGAGGUAAGUUGUAUUCAUGAGGGGCGGUGCAUCUCAAUGACUCCCAUGCUCACACAGUUGAGAGCGCUGAUGUUAAUGUGGAAAGCCAUCACUUAAAUGCACACAGUGUGGUGCCCCACAGUAGACCUGAUAGACCACGUGGAU